Molecule: ribosomal RNA, 1275 nt
Filed under: Triticum aestivum (bread wheat)
Lineage: Eukaryota; Viridiplantae; Streptophyta; Magnoliopsida; Poales; Poaceae
Description: partial small subunit ribosomal RNA
Source: RNAcentral
GCCUGAUGAAAAAAAACGGACAAAUGAAGUUGGCACUCGAUCCCCUCCCUCCCGCACUCGACCACAGGCCUCUCGCUCCCGCCUAGGGUUCCUCCAGCGCCGCCGCCGCCGGGCCUCUGCUCCUCGACGCCCCCAUCUCCGGCGACAUAGCCGACGGGUAGGCCUGCAUCUCCCACCCCAGCUGCCUCGGGCGCUUUCCCUCCCUCCCCCGGUGUCUAGCAGCAGCUCCUGGCCUGGUCCAGCCAGGGAUCCACUCCGGUGGACGACGCCCACUCUGGUCGACGUGCCACUCCGGCGAAGGACCCCCGCUCCCCUCCCCUCCUCCCUGGCCGUGAGCCCGAGCAUCAGCUAUGAGCUCCUCUUAUUUUGAUUUUGCAAAAUUUUCAUGUAGAUUUGCUAUGAACUGUUGCUGAUGUAUGUUGUUUUUAUCUUGAUUUGCUACGAGGUGUUGCUCAUAUAUGGCAGAACUAAUUUUUAUAUGGAUGUGGUGAUCGUGCCAAGUAUAAGUACAAGAUUGUUGCCCUCUGGUUGAUAUCAUUGUAUUUCCAUAGAAAACAAUAUCUAGUUGUUGUUUGUACUACAUAUUAAUUCUUCUAAAUUUUUUAUUGACAUGAUGAAUAAUAGAUGAAAGCACUGGUAGAUUGUAGUGUUUUGAAGUCGAAUUUAUGUUCAUAUGGGUAUCAAAAUGAUAAUUUUUUUAAUAUGAUAUCAUUUAAUCCAAAUAACAAUAUAGUCCAAGGGCAUUACAGACUUUUCCCUGACCAUACGGCAGAUAAGCUGACAAAACAGAAGUGGAAAAGAACUGGCUAACUUAUUAUCUGGAGCUUACUUCCACAAGAGCUUAUUCUCACAGGAGCUUAUUUUCACAGCAUAGCUCAAAAGAACUGGCCCUUAUGCCUGUUGAUGAUUAUUAUGAUGCAUUAUUUAUUUUUCAUUGCCCGUCUUUUACGUCGAGAUGCAACGAGAAAUUGAAGCCUACAAUAGGGAUGACAUUUGAAGGGCUUGAGGCUGUGGAGGAGUUCUACAAGUCAUCUGCACAUCAUGUGGUUUUUGGAGUCUGUGUUGGACAACAGAGAAAGUUGGACAAUGCGGUGGUACGGAGAAAGCGUUUCAUGCUUGGAAAAGGAUGACAUUUAUAUGAAUUACUAAUGUUGAAUUCUUUGAUGCACUGGAUUCUUGUAAUGGGUGGAAUUAUGUGUUUUGUCGGAACUGUCUUCCUCUUAUUUUCCAUAACUUAUGUGUAUUGAAUGGAGUGUAGCAACAAGCAAUAGCACC